Molecule: ribosomal RNA, 253 nt
Filed under: uncultured bacterium
Lineage: Bacteria
Description: partial 16S ribosomal RNA
Rfam family: Bacterial small subunit ribosomal RNA
Source: RNAcentral
UACAGAGGGUGCGAGCGUUAAUCGGAAUUACUGGGCGUAAAGCGCACGUAGGUGGCGACGUAAGUCGGGUGUGAAAGCCCCGGGCUCAACCUGGGAAUUGCAUUCGAGACUGCAUUGCUGGAGUGCGGAAGAGGAAGGCGGAAUUCCCGGUGUAGCGGUGAAAUGCGUAGAUAUCGGGAGGAACAUCAGUGGCGAAGGCGGCCUUCUGGUCCAGUACUGACACUCAAGUGCGAAAGCGUGGGGAGCAAACGGG